CGCACGGGUGAGUAACACGUAGGUAAUUUGCCUUCGGGUGGGGAAUAACUUGGGGAAACCCAAGCUAAUACCGCAUAAUGCAGCGGCACCAAAUGGUGACAGUUGUUAAAGCUUUAUGUGCCUGAAGAGAAGCCUGCGGCGGAUUAGGUAGUUGGUAAGGUAAUGGCUUACCAAGCCUGCGAUCCGUAUCCGGUCUUAGAGGACGGUCGGACACACUGACACUGAAUAACGGGUCAG
This 237-nucleotide ribosomal RNA is filed under the name uncultured bacterium. Its description in RNAcentral is "partial 16S ribosomal RNA". It matches the Rfam family "Bacterial small subunit ribosomal RNA", at positions 99 to 334 of the family's 1533-position model. The record is from RNAcentral.